RNAcentral lists this ribosomal RNA (465 nucleotides) under uncultured bacterium. RNAcentral's name for it is "partial 16S ribosomal RNA". It matches the Rfam family "Bacterial small subunit ribosomal RNA", at positions 338 to 795 of the family's 1533-position model. The record is from RNAcentral.
ACUACGGGAGGCAGCAGUGGGGAAUAUUGCGCAAUGGGCGACAGCCUGACGCAGCGACGCCGCGUGAGGGAUGAAGGUCUUCGGAUCGUAAACCUCUGUCCGCAGGGAAGAACGGUCACUGUGCUAAUCAGCAGUGAAUUGACGGUACCUGCAAAGGAAGCACCGGCUAACUCCGUGCCAGCAGCCGCGGUAAUACGGAGGGUGCGAGCCUUAAUCGGAAUUACUGGGCGUAAAGCGCUCGUAGGCGGUAUGUCAAGUCAAGGGUGAAAUCCCCGCGCUCAACGUGGGAACUGCCUUUGAAAAUGGCAAACUGGAGUGUGUGAGAGGAUAGUGGAAUUCCAGGUGUAGGAGUGAAAUCCGUAGAUAUCUGGAGGAACAUCAGUGGCGAAGGCGACUAUCUGGCACAUAACUGACGCUGAGGAGCGAAAGCGUGGGUAGCAAACAGGAUUAGAUACCCCUGUAGUC